CGGUCCCAAGGGUUGGGCUGUUCGCCCAUUAAAGCGGUACGCGAGCUGGGUUCAGAACGUCGUGAGACAGUUCGGUCCCUAUCCGUCGUGGGCGUAGGAAAUUUGAGAGGAGCUGUCCUUAGUACGAGAGGACCGGGAUGGACAUACCUCUGGUGUACCAGUUGUCGUGCCAACGGCAUAGCUGGGUAGCUAUGUAUGGACGGGAUAAGUGCUGAAAGCAUCUAAGCAUGAAGCCCCCCUCGAGAUGAGAUUUCCCAACUUCGGUUAUAAGAUCCCUCAAAGAUGAUGAGGUGAAUAGGUUCGAGGUGGAAGCGUAGCGAUACGUGGAGCUGACGAAUACUAAUCGAUCGAAGACUUAAUCAA
This 363-nucleotide ribosomal RNA is filed under the name Staphylococcus pseudintermedius. Its description in RNAcentral is "partial 23S ribosomal RNA". It matches the Rfam family "Bacterial large subunit ribosomal RNA", at positions 2560 to 2925 of the family's 2925-position model. Lineage: Bacteria; Bacillati; Bacillota; Bacilli; Caryophanales; Staphylococcaceae. The record is from RNAcentral.